AAGCGGGGGAUCUUCGGACCUCUCGCUAUCAGAUGAGCCCAUGUCGGAUUAGCUAGUUGGUAGGGUAAAGGCCUACCAAGGCUACGAUCCGUAGCUGGUCUGAGAGGAUGAUCAGCCACACUGGAACUGAGACACGGUCCAGACUCCUACGGGAGGCAGCAGUGGGGAAUAUUGGACAAUGGGGGCGACCCUGAUCCAACCAUGCCGCGUGUGUGAAGAAGGCCUUAGGGUUGUAAAGCACUUUCAGUGGGGAGAAAGGUUAUUCACCUAAUACGUGAGUAAAUUGAUGCUACCCACAGAAGAAGCACCGGCUAAAUCCGUGCCAGCAGCCGCGGUAU
Molecule: ribosomal RNA, 338 nt
Filed under: uncultured Gammaproteobacteria bacterium
Lineage: Bacteria; Pseudomonadati; Pseudomonadota; Gammaproteobacteria
Description: bacterial SSU rRNA
Rfam family: Bacterial small subunit ribosomal RNA
Source: RNAcentral